AUACGUAGGGGGCAAGCGUUAUCCGGAAUUACUGGGUGUAAAGGGAGCGUAGGCGGCAUGGUAAGUUAGAUGUGAAAGCCCGUGGCUUAACCGCGAGGAUUGCAUUUAAAACUAUCAAGCUAGAGUACAGGAGAGGAAAGCGGAAUUCCUAGUGUAGCGGUGAAAUGCGUAGAUAUUAGGAAGAACACCAGUGGCGAAGGCGGCUUUCUGGACUGAAACUGACGCUGAAGCUCGAAAGCGUGGGGAGCGAACAGGAUUAGAUACCCUGGUAGUCCACGCCGUAAACGAUGAGUGCUAGGUGUUGGAGGGGAACCUUCGGUGCCGCAGCAAACGCAAUAAGCACUCCACCUGGGGAGUACGACCGCAAGGUUGAA
RNAcentral lists this ribosomal RNA (374 nucleotides) under uncultured bacterium. RNAcentral's name for it is "bacterial SSU rRNA". It matches the Rfam family "Bacterial small subunit ribosomal RNA", at positions 523 to 898 of the family's 1533-position model. The record is from RNAcentral.